RNAcentral lists this ribosomal RNA (118 nucleotides) under Gopherus agassizii (Agassiz's desert tortoise). Lineage: Eukaryota; Metazoa; Chordata; Testudines; Testudinidae. The record is from RNAcentral.
CCUUGCAAUCCUUCCACCUCAGGCUAUGAUCUUGUCUGAUUGUACAAGCUAAACAGGGUUAGGUCUGGUUAACACUUAGAUGGGAGACCACCAAGUAAAAACCCAGAUGCUGCAGAGA